Molecule: RNA transcript, 5102 nt
Organism: Carassius auratus (goldfish)
Lineage: Eukaryota; Metazoa; Chordata; Actinopteri; Cypriniformes; Cyprinidae
Gene name: calcium homeostasis modulator protein 5-like
Exons: 6
Source: RefSeq, a predicted model, not a curated record
AACUGUUUUUCAUAUAUUAGUGCUAUGACCCAGAAUCUGCCCCACCUAAAUUAACGGUAAGGAGCCACUAAUGGUGGUGUGUUUUCUCACAUUUGCAAUGAUCUUGUGUACUGGAAAUGCAUGUUCUAGAUAAGGGAACACUUCCUGUCUCUUUUCGGUUGAGACGUGCAGCACAGCCACCCUGAAACUUUGAUGAAGGAUCAGAAAGAUACAGACAACACAUCCUGAAAGACAAGACCAGAGUUUCAAUGUUAAGCAGUUCCAUCUAAAGAGUGAAACUUCAAAUUGGAUAAAGAGAAUGACAAAGAAAAAACAACAACACAUAUGGGCACACAACAUCACCCGUACGCAUCACCUGCACAAACUGGAAGGGAGUUUAUGUGUACGAUCAGGAGCUCAACAGGCCUUGGUGUAAACCUACUGAAAAAACACAAAACGAGACCGUGCUACGUGAUUUGACUCGCAAAUACAUUCAUAAAUCACAGCAUGCAGGUUACGUCUGGAUCACCGUCUUCAGUGUCUUGGUGAUUGCCGUGGUGGGUAUUUAUGACUGCUACAUUAGUGGAAAAUGUAAAUGGCGCCCACGUGGACUGUCAUGCUUCUGCGGACAAACGAUGGAGACACAGAGUGAGCAACAAGAUUCUGGAGCAGAUUCUCUAAGCCUUAAUGCUGUGCAAAGCACUAUACAAAACCAGGCGGUGGUCCCUCCCUCUCAGGAGGAUGCACAGAAUCUUUGAAAGAGGGUCAUGUACAUGAAUUAAUAAUAAAUGGGUAAAUAAUUGUCAAUGGUAAAGAUAGUCUAGCUACUAUAAAUAAAUAAAUAAUAAGCUUUAAAAAUAAAAAUAAUAAGCUUUAACUGGCCUUUUCAAGCUGGCACAUUACACAAUAUAUAUAGGCUGAUUAUUCUGCCAGUACCAUGAUGUCUGACUUUCAUGUAAACUAAGAAAGAAAGCUGCCCCCCCCCCCCAAAAAAAGAGUGAAAAGUCAAAUUGCCUCAAUGUGUUUUUUUUUUUUUUUUUUUUUUUUUUUUGUGAACUAACUAUUAAGGUUUGAGAACCCUUGAUUUAAAUCAACCUGUAUAAGAAAACUUAAUUCAGGUUCACUUGAUCUCUCUUUUUUUCUCUAGCAUCACAUUUGUUAGCUAUCUCAGAGUACAAGUAUAAACAGCAAAAUGUCUUUUGAUUUUACCAUGUUAUCCUGGUGAGGGUUAGGGUUAUAUUUAUAUACUAUUUCUGAGUCAAAUAAUAUUGGGCUUUCCUGUGUGCCUGUCAACUAUCAUAUCUUAAGAGGGUAAGACUGUACACAAAUUAUGCAGAAAUGAUUACGCUGCAUGAGUUUUAAAGAUAAGGAAAAGUUUUCUUUUUUUUCACUUUAGCCUACACUUUUAAAUUAACUUCAUUGUUAUUUAUUUUUCUGUUUAAAAUACAUGAAUAAUCUGUUAUACUUGCACAAUUUUAACAAAUAAAAUCCUAUUUACAUCUCAAACAUUUAUUCAAACUACAGAUCUUUACUGAUCACUGGAAACAAACACAUUUUUGAUUUGGUUAUGAAUUUUAUUGUUGCUGUAUUACAAUAUCAUUAUAAAAAUUUCAGUUAGUAAUGUAAUCCAUUACUGUUCAUUAGCUAUUAUAAACAGACUGUUUUUUUUAAUUACUUUUAGAUUACUUUUGUUAGAUUGCUAACUCAUUUUUCAAAUUAAUUUAAAUAAGAUAAUGUUUUAUUAACACCCAUUCACCGCCAGGACAAGUCUGAUUUUAUUCAUCAAAAAAAAAAAAAAAAAAAAAAGAAAGUAAUAUGCACCUAUGAUGGCUUUGAUAGUGAGUGAAUCUCUGGGUUAUUUUAAUUUUUGGGUGAACUAUCCCUUUAUGUUGCAUAGACAGAGUCAUAAAGUAGAUACAAAGAUUCAGUAGAACAAGAAAGAAGUAAAUAAAAUAAAAUAAAGAAAAACAGAAAACAACAGGGACACAAAAUGAAUACCCGAGGCUCCUGAUGAUAUAUUGAGUACUUGUGAAGUGAAAAGUUCAGUCUGUGCAAGAAAUGGAACAUUAUUUACAACAUGAUUACCUGUAAUCAAUAUCCUCAAGGAAAUCCAAUUCUUUUCCGCAAACUGGUUCUUUCAGAAGGUCUUAGAAUCUUGAAUUUUCUUUUUUCUUUUUUUUUUUUUUUUUUUUUUGUGAACUUUCCGUUUAACACACUAAGGGACUGUUUACACACUUCUGUGUUUAAACACUACAAGUUUUUGCCAUAAUUGUAGUUUUUCUAUGCAAACGUAGGUUCAGAGGACAUCUUUUGACCAUUGACCUCUUUUCAUGUCAGAAAGCCACAUCAAGUUAAGAAAAAACAUGCCUCAAGACCUUGAGAGUUAAUUCCAUUUUUAUCUUGAUAAAACAUGUAGCUUUUAUUAGUUAUUAAUACGCUUACAAAAAGUUUUAUUUUUUUUUAUUUUUUUUUAAAACAAAGUGUAUAAAUAAAGACGUUCAUUUAUUGAAUUGACAGGAACAAAUAUGUAGGCUACAUCCUACUACCCCAUAUAUACGAGCUGUGUGAAUAUGUUGUAAGAAACAUAAAUCGACAAAUACAUAAAGUAGACUGAUUUCGAUUGUUCUUUUAGCUUUUCAGUAAUAGUUUUGUUAUCUGCUGGAAAGAUAUGAGAAAUGUAUUUUUCAACUCUAUUUGCAUUCUAACUGGUUGUUCAAUUCAGUUUUGUUAACCAAUAAGAUACGUACUCAUUACUGUUUACCUAUGUCAUAUCUGUGCACUUUGCGUGUAGCCCUCCACCUCCCCAGCACCACCUGCCUAUAUCUGCUAUGGGGGAUUGCCGCAGCAAAGCAGAUCUAGUCCACCAAGACCAAACCUAUUCACAUUGUAUUUACAUUAGUUAAAUUACUUUGGAUAAAAGCGUCUGCUAAAUGAGUAAAUGUAAAUAAAAAUGAAAAUGUAAAUGUAAUCGCUGACACGGUGUGGUGCGGGAGAGAAGCACAUAAUCGAGGAAGAAGAUGAAAGAAAGUCUUUAAUAAUCCGCAUAGGAGUAAUCGAUAAGGAGGCAGAAACACACAUACACAUUGACGAGACCGGACAACCAAACACUGAACUAAAUGCAUCUUAUAAGGUAAACGUUAAUGAGGGUACAAGACACUGACAAGACACUCCUGAACAUAAUGACACAAUCAACACGAGACAGAAACUAGGUGACAGAAAAUAUGAGGAAUGAAAACACAACAAGAAAGUUCUGUGGUGUGACAAUCACAUACAAAAUGAAAGUAAUUAUUUAUUUUAUUUAUUUUUUACAUAGCAUCCUUUUCUUAAAUAUAUACAUGCCUGUGUUUGUAUAUACAUAAUAAAUAUAUACAGCACACACACACACAUAUAUUAAGUAAACAAAAACUUGUAUUUGGGAUGUAUACAUGCCUGCACUUUAUAUGACCUAAUAAAUUAACAUAGACUGUAAGCAGUAAGAUAAACGAUACAGUCUGAAGACUUUUUAAUAUUUCUGUUCAAUCAAACCAUUCAAGUGUAAAUUAUAUCAUAAUUGUAAUAAAACAUAGAAAAUAAGGCAGAAUCAAAAAAAAAUUGUCUGGUUUUCUGAGAAUAAAAAGAUUUAACACUUAUUCCUGAGAUUCUUGGUGCACCUCUUCCCUCCGCCUUUUUGAAUAUAUGAAGCAAUAUCAAAAUAAUACAGCACUAGAUGGGACUUUAAAUAUCAGAUUUGUAAAAUGAAUAAAAUUGCUAGUGUUUUAUAGCAGUCUUCACUGACAAUGGAAACUUCAGCAAACUGUAUGUAUAUACAGAGCAGAAGUGUAGGUAGUGUCACGUUUUUUUCUGUCACAAGUUGUUCUCACUGAAAAACCACUUCUUUUUUUUAUUUUCUGUUCAAAUGUAUGGCAAAGCAUCCUUUAAAUAUUAAUGCAGAAGCAGAAUUUAACCACACAUCGACAACAUAUCACUACAGAAAAGAAGAACACAAUCGGGAUCUGUGCACCAUAUAAAGACAUCAGUGAGACAGAGAUGCCACUAACUAAAUGUUUUUCUUCAGUUUUUAAGAAAAUAUUUGCAUUUCUGAAACGAUAUUCUUUUGUAUUCAUUUUUCUAUUGAGUCUUUUGUUAAUCGGAUUUGAAGAGUUCCUGGAAGCAAAAGUUUUUUCAUGCCCGUGCAGACAUGAUCUGAAUGUACAACUAACGGCGUGCGUCUUCAUCGGACCUGCUCUCUUUAUUUUCGAACUACUCUUCCUCUUUUUAAGGCCUUUUAGAGAGAAAUGCAGUCAUUUUUCUGAAGGAGCAGAUGAUGAUACUCAGCAGAACUGUCCUAAAGCUUUCACAUCAUGUCUGAUUCCACCUAUAAUGUGGGCCAUCAUUUUGUUACUCGAUGGAGAUUACUUUGCUUGUGCCAUGACAUAUUGGAAGGGAAUUUCCACAUUUGACAGUCAGCUCAACAGAUCGUGGUGUAAACCUAUCGAAAAGUUCAGAAAUGUGACAGCGCUUCGAAAUUUGACUCAAACACAUAUCCAUCAAUCUCAGAUAUAUGGUUAUGGUGUGAGCACGGUCUUCAUCGUCUUUCCAAUUAUCUGUGUGGGAAUUAUUGACUGCUGUGGAAAAUCUGCCUGCUGUUCCAGAGCUGGACGUGGCUGAACACAAAUGGACACAACCAUGAACAUCUAUCUAUCUUACCUAUUAUUGGAUCAUUAUAUAAUAUUAAUGCAGCUCCAAAAGAGGAACAUGCCUCAUCUGCCCUCCCAACUUAAUGUGAUCAAUUUCAAAAGCGAAAGUGAAAGUAAAAAAAAAAAAAAAUGCAUGCACAAAAAAAGCGAUUGCAUUAGCGAUUUCAGAUUGCACGCUUCUCACUCGAACCAGACAUCCAUGUGACUUGUUGGCAUUAUAUGCUGAGCUAACAACAACACAGCACAGAAAAUGAAAGAACAACUGAUGCCCAGUUCCUCCGUGAGUGGUUUAAAAUGAUCCAGAAUUUGUUGUUUUGGUCCUUACAACAUAGUCCACAAUGUGCUGAAAGAAGCAGUCUUUGUAAACUUGCAAAAAAAAAUAAUUACUAAACCUACACAAAAAGCAACAUCUUUGCAUGAACAGUGUUUUUUAACACAAACACACAC